Molecule: long non-coding RNA, 219 nt
Filed under: Vigna radiata
Lineage: Eukaryota; Viridiplantae; Streptophyta; Magnoliopsida; Fabales; Fabaceae
Description: long non-coding RNA (VRAD_LNC010158)
Source: RNAcentral
GGAGAUAUCAAGAAUUAAGCUCAGUUACAGCUAUAUAAUAAACCACAAAGUCAUACCUCCAAAGACAAGGAAGAGAAACAAUGACAUUGUAUUACAUUUUAAACCCUGGAAGAGAAACAAUGACAUUGUAUUUCAUUUUAAACCCAAUUUUCUUUCUAUGCUUGAGGCUUUUCCAGUUUUAUUCUCAAUUCUACAACUUCCCUACAUCAUCUACCUUCU